Molecule: ribosomal RNA, 836 nt
Filed under: uncultured bacterium
Lineage: Bacteria
Description: bacterial SSU rRNA
Rfam family: Bacterial small subunit ribosomal RNA
Source: RNAcentral
UUCGGUUUCGUUCUAGCGGCGAACGGUCGCGUAACACGUAGGCAACCUGCCCGAAAGACCGGGACAACAGUCCGAAAGGGCUGCUAAUACCGGAUGUGACCUUUCUGCGACAUCGCAGAGAGAUUAAAUCCCUGCAAGGGGGCUUUCGGAGGGGCCUGCGGCCUAUCAGCUAGAUGGCGGGGUAACGGCUCACCAUGGCGACGACGGGUAGCUGGUCUGAGAGGAUGGUCAGCCGGACCGGGACUGAGAUACGGCCCAGACUCCUACGGGGGGCAGCAAUUAGGAAUCUUGCGCAAUGGGCGAAAGCCUGACGCAGCGACGUCGCGUGGGGGAGGAAGGCCUUCGGGUUGUAAACCCCUUUUAACGAGGAAGAAACAAAUGACGGUACUCGUUGAAUAAGCCCCGGCUAACUCCGUGCCAGCAGCCGCGGUAAUACGGAGGGGGCGAGCGUUGUCCGAAGUUACUGGGCGUAAAGCGCGCGUAGGCGGGAGCAUAAGUCCGCUGUGAAAGCCCGAGGCUUAACCUCGGAGGGUCGGUGGAUACUGUGCUUCUUGAAGGUGCUAGGGGGAAAUGGAAUUACCGGUGUAGCGGUGAAAUGCGUAGAGAUCGGUAGGAACACCAGUGGCGAAGGCGGUUUCCUGGGGCAUUCUUGACGCUGAGGCGCGAAAGCUGGGGGAGCGAACGGGAUUAGAUACCCCGGUAGUCCCAGCCCUAAACGAUGGAUACUAGGUGUCGGGGGUAUCGACCCCUCCGGCGCCGGCGCUAACGCACUAAGUAUCCCGCCUGGGGAGUACGGCCGCAAGGUUGAAACUCAAAGGAAUUGACGGAAUCGAAUU